GCAACUGGAAAGAGAAGCAAUGAGCCGUCGCCGAGACUGCGAAAAUAAAUUCAGAGCUCAUGUUCUGCUGACAUUGGAUUAGCAACUGCAAGGUCUCCUGGGGACACAGCAUGACGGAAGCUCAUCCAUCACCACCCCCAUGCCCUUGACUCUGCUCUCUGUCCACAAAGUGGACCCAUUACUGGAGACUUCUUAGGCCUUCAGGGCUUCACUGUAUCUCCUCCAUGAAGAGGAGCGUGGACAUUUGAUGUUUUAACCUGAGAAGUUCUUGCUGCCUCGUCUCACAGCUGUUGGCUCCAACUAAUGGGCCCGCCUAGCCGGAGAAGUUAUUGAGUAUCUGUGUAAUUAAGAACCUACUGGAUGUCAUGUGGAAUAAAGAGAAGGAAGUUUGUGACAAAGAAGUGAAUGUGCUGGAAGAUUUUUUCAUAUUAUUUGAACAAAUUCUUUAUAUAACAAGGAUUUUAGCCUUUUACAAAAAAAAUACAUAUGUAUAUGUUCUUAACCAGCUUGUUGCUUAUUUUAAAAUUUUGUUUAUAAUUUGAUGCAUGGAAUUUUACAAAUUUUAUAAUGCAAACACUAUCAGGAUAAAAAAUAUUUUAUGCUUUUCAGUUAGAAUAUGUAAAUAUUCACAUUAUAUUCAAGAUAUUUGCUUUCCCUUAUAAAUAGCUGUUAGAGUAUUGUUUUCUGAGCUUCCUUUUCUUUCUCCACUUGUUUGAAAUGUUAUCUUUAUUAUAAGCUAUAUACAUACAAUUGAGUCUGUAAAAUAACCACAAAAUGAGAAAUACAGACAUUUUGAAAAUAUUUAGAGAAAACUGUGUAUAAUUCCAUUCUGAUAAAUGUGUAACUAUUCUUGAUAUGGGCAAUUUUCUAUGAGAACAUGAAUUUCCAAAGUUAAUUCAAAUAAAAAAUCUGAACAGAUCGUUAACCAUUUAAGAGUUUUUAAAAGCUGUUGAAUAAUUACCUAUUUGAUAAUAAAAUACCAUGCAUCACAAACUAUAGCAUUUUGAUACUAGCAUAAGAAGUAAAAAAGAAUAUAGAGGCUGAAAAGAAUAUUCAAGAUAAGCCAUAGACAAACCAUUAGACUCCCAAAGAACCCAAAACUACUGCUAGAAUCUCAGACACCCACUGAAACCCAGGCUCCCAACCUUAGGGCAAGAGCCCUCUG
RNAcentral lists this long non-coding RNA (1165 nucleotides) under Equus caballus (horse). Its description in RNAcentral is "lncRNA (ENSECAG00000058760.1)". The record is from RNAcentral. Lineage: Eukaryota; Metazoa; Chordata; Mammalia; Perissodactyla; Equidae.